AGAGUUUGAUCCUGGCUCAGGAUGAACGCUAGCUACAGGCUUAACACAUGCAAGUCGAGGGGAAACGAUAUUGGAAGCUUGCUUCCGAUAGGCGUCGACCGGCGCACGGGUGAGUAACGCGUAUCCAACCUGCCCACCACUUGGGGAUAACCUUGCGAAAGUAAGACUAAUACCCAAUGAUAUCUCUAGAAGACAUCUGAAGGAGAUUAAAGAUUUAUCGGUGAUGGAUGGGGAUGCGUCUGAUUAGCUUGUUGGCGGGGUAACGGCCCACCAAGGCGACGAUCAGUAGGGGUUCUGAGAGGAAGGUCCCCCACAUUGGAACUGAGACACGGUCCAAACUCCUACGGGAGGCAGCAGUGAGGAAUAUUGGUCAAUGGGCGAGAGCCUGAACCAGCCAAGUAGCGUGCAGGAUGACGGCCCUAUGGGUUGUAAACUGCUUUUAUAAGGGAAUAAAGUGAGUCUCGUGAGACUUUUUGCAUGUACCUUAUGAAUAAGGACCGGCUAAUUCCGUGCCAGCAGCCGCGGUAAUACGGAAGGUCCGGGCGUUAUCCGGAUUUAUUGGGUUUAAAGGGUGCGUAGGCGGACUGUUAAGUCAGCGGUGAAAGCGUGUGGCUCAACCAUACCACUGCCGUUGAAACUGGCGGUCUUGAGUGUAAACGAUGUAGGCGGAAUGUGAUGUGUAGCGGUGAAAUGCUUAGAUAUGUCACAGAACCCCGAUUGCGAAGGCAGCUUACAAGGAUACAACUGACGCUGAGGCACGAAAGCGUGGGUAUCAAACCAGGAUUAGAUACCCUGGUAGUCCACGCAGUAAACGAUGAAUACUAGCUGUUGGCGAUACAUGGUCAGCGGUAAAACCGAAAGUAUUAAGUAUUCCACCUGGGGAGUACGCCGGCAACGGUGAAACUCAAAGGAAAUUGACGGGGGCCCGCACAAGCGGAGGAACAUGUGGUUUAAUUCGAUGAUACGCGAGGAACCUUACCCGGGCUUGAAAGUUAGUGACGGACUUGGAAACAGGUCUUUCCUUCGGGACACGAAACUAGGUGCUGCAUGGUUGUCGUCAGCUCGUGCCGUGAGGUGUCGGCUUAAGUGCCAUAACGAGCGCAACCCUUGUUGUUAGUUGCCAUCGGGUAAUGCCGGGAACUCUAGCAAGACUGCUACUGUAAGGUAGAGGAAGGUGGGGAUGACGUCAAAUCAGCACGGCCCUUAUGUCCGGGGCGACACACGUGUUACAAUGGCAGGUACAGAGGGUUGCUACCAUGCGAGUGGAUGCUAAUCUCAUAAAACCUGUCUCAGUUCGGAUCGGAGUCUGCAACUCGACUCCGUGAAGCUGGAUUCGCUAGUAAUCGCGCAUCAGCCAUGGCGCGGUGAAUACGUUCCCUGGGCCUUGCACUCACCGCCCGUCA
RNAcentral lists this ribosomal RNA (1403 nucleotides) under uncultured bacterium. Its description in RNAcentral is "16S ribosomal RNA". It matches the Rfam family "Bacterial small subunit ribosomal RNA". The record is from RNAcentral.